UUCACUGUACUACAAACAAAACUCUUCGGCAGUGAAUCCCAAGCUCAUUCUUGAUUUUCGAAUACCAUGGUGGCAUUUUUGUUUCUUUGAACUUGUGCAAGCAUCAUCACGGAUUCUCCUUGUAACCGAACCGAACCAGUCCAGGACGGCAUUUAUUUAUUUAUUUAUUCUUUCCUCGAGAACAACUGCACUGUAAUUUAGGGUUUGAAUUUGAUGAUUUAAACGUGUGGCGGUUCGGUUGUGUGUACUGACAAGUUGAUGCAACGAAACGACGGAGAAUAGGCAAAUGGUAGGUGCUGUUCCAGGCAACGAUGUCUGUAAUAAAUGGAGUGACGAGAAAAUGGAAGGAAAAGAGGGUUUCAAUGCUAUCGAGUGCCUCAGAGCAAGAUUGCUCGCAGAGAGACACGCCUCAAAACUGGCCAAUGACGAAGCAGAAUCUCUGGGCCUCAAGUUGAUUGAGCUGGAAAACAAACUCAGACAAAGAGAUUAAAUUCAAAGAGAGAGCCGAGAGAAGGCUCCGCUUUUUGGAGAAGAAGCUCAAGUCUUUCAACAUUUCAUCCACAUCAGGGGAAUCUGAGCAAUCU
This is a long non-coding RNA of Prosopis cineraria, 584 nucleotides long. RefSeq lists it as uncharacterized. NCBI's taxonomy places the organism in Eukaryota, Viridiplantae, Streptophyta, Magnoliopsida, Fabales, Fabaceae. The transcript is spliced from 3 exons. The record is from RefSeq and is a predicted model, not a curated record.